Erinaceus europaeus (western European hedgehog) is the source of this 745-nucleotide long non-coding RNA. RefSeq lists it as uncharacterized. The record is from RefSeq and is a predicted model, not a curated record. Lineage: Eukaryota; Metazoa; Chordata; Mammalia; Eulipotyphla; Erinaceidae. The transcript has 10 exons.
UCCAGGACGCCAUUUCGUUCUUUCGAAGUUGGGAGCUACAAUCGCCUGAGACGGAUUCUGACAUGGAAACAAUGACGUCUUGUGACACUGCUGGGCAAUUCAGUGCCAAAAGGAGAGAGAGCAGCUCUCAGAAUCCUACCUAGUGCGCAAGCAGAAAUAGCCAUGAAUAAAAAGGUUGACAGGAUUGACAUCAGCUGACUUUGGGAGAAUGUCUGAUCUAUGCCAAAUGUGAGGAGAGCAGCCAACUGUGUGGUCUUGAAUCCGGUAUCACUGCAUUAUCCAUGUUAGGUGCAGACAUGGGAAACUUGCAUAAAGAAAGAUGCGGAAACAUGCUGACUACAAGACACUGGACAAUGGAGAUUAAUAAGCAAAGGCAGAUCAUUUUCUGGAAAUUUGGAGGUAAGUCUUAACCUAUACAUAUUUAUGUAAAUUUAUUAGAAUGUAACCAGUGAUGCACUGAUUCUGCCAAAUGAGUAAAAUGAUAUCACAUACUAAACCGUUCCAUUUUUCUCUGAGGUUACUUAAGUAUCAUUGUAUAUGAACAUGUUUCUCCCCCCCAAGACUAACAUAUGACCCUUGUUUUCAGGGAAUAGAAACAAGUGACACAAUUUACCAGCUGGAAAGGUAACUGAAUGGAUGAUCAUGGGAAAAAGCAAGAUUAUUAGUGAUGGUGAGCAGCAAGGUGCUGACUCACUGCAUCUGUUGCUCUUGUUUCAUGUAAAAUAAAAGCUAAUAUUGACUGAUA